CCUACGGGAGGCAGCAGUGGGGAAUAUUGGACAAUGGGGGCAACCCUGAUCCAGCAAUGCCGCGUGAGUGAUGAAGGCCUUAGGGUUGUAAAGCUCUUUUACCAGGGAUGAUAAUGACAGUACCUGGAGAAUAAGCUCCGGCUAACUCCGUGCCAGCAGCCGCGGUAAUACGGAGGGAGCUAGCGUUGUUCGGAAUUACUGGGCGUAAAGCGCACGUAGGCGGUUACUCAAGUCAGAGGUGAAAGCCCGGGGCUCAACCCCGGAACUGCCUUUGAAACUAGGUAACUAGAAUCCUGGAGAGGUGAGUGGAAUUCCGAGUGUAGAGGUGAAAUUCGUAGAUAUUCGGAAGAACACCAGUGGCGAAGGCGGCUC
RNAcentral lists this ribosomal RNA (372 nucleotides) under uncultured bacterium. RNAcentral describes it as "bacterial SSU rRNA". It matches the Rfam family "Bacterial small subunit ribosomal RNA", at positions 338 to 727 of the family's 1533-position model. The record is from RNAcentral.